AUCCUUGGCGACUUCAACAUGUACCGGUUCGCCGAGGAGAAGUCACGUGGUAGAGUCAACUGGGCGAUGAUGGACACAUUUAAUGGUUGGAUCAGAUCUCUUGGGCUUGAUGAUGUCGAUAUUUGCAACCGCAGAUACACCUGGUCGAACAAGCGUGCGGACCCGACUUUGGUUCGGCUGGAUCGUGUGCUCAUUAAUGCUGGAUGGCUACUCUCCUUCUCCCCCACGACUGCUUCUCUCGUGCCUUCUGUCACCUCCGAUCAUGUGCCUAUCCUGGUUUAG
This 282-nucleotide ribosomal RNA is filed under the name Triticum aestivum (bread wheat). Its description in RNAcentral is "partial small subunit ribosomal RNA". The record is from RNAcentral. Lineage: Eukaryota; Viridiplantae; Streptophyta; Magnoliopsida; Poales; Poaceae.